This 295-nucleotide ribosomal RNA is filed under the name uncultured Thalassiosira. RNAcentral describes it as "partial Bacterial large subunit ribosomal RNA". It matches the Rfam family "Bacterial large subunit ribosomal RNA", at positions 1268 to 1566 of the family's 2925-position model. Lineage: Eukaryota; Bacillariophyta; Thalassiosirophyceae; Thalassiosirales; Thalassiosiraceae. The record is from RNAcentral.
GGCUUCUGGAGGUAUGGGAAGUGCGAAUGCUGACAUGAGUAACGACAAUGGGUGUGAAAAACACCCACGCCGAAAGACCAAGGGUUCCUGCGCAACGUUAAUCGACGCAGGGUUAGUCGGUUCCUAAGGCGAGGCUGAAAAGCGUAGUCGAUGGGAAACAGGUUAAUAUUCCUGUACUUCUGGUUACUGCGAUGGAGGGACGGAGAAGGCUAGGCCAGCUUGGCGUUGGUUGUCCAAGUUUAAGGUGGUAGGCUGAAAUCUUAGGUAAAUCCGGGGUUUCAAGGCCGAGAGCUGA